AUACGAAGGGGGCAAGCGUUGUUCGGAAUAACUGGGCGUAAAGCGCACGUAGGCGGAAUGUUAAGUUAGAGGUGAAAUCCCAGGGCUCAACCCUGGAACGGCCUUUAAUACUGGCAAUCUAGAGACCGAGAGAGGUGAGUGGAAUUCCGAGUGUAGAGGUGAAGUUCGUAGAUAUUCGGAGGAACACCAGUGGCGAAGGCGGCUCACUGGCUCGGUACUGACGCUGAGGUGCGAAAGCGUGGGGAGCAAACAGGAUUAGAAACCCUAGUAGUCC
RNAcentral lists this ribosomal RNA (274 nucleotides) under uncultured bacterium. Its description in RNAcentral is "partial 16S ribosomal RNA". It matches the Rfam family "Bacterial small subunit ribosomal RNA", at positions 523 to 796 of the family's 1533-position model. The record is from RNAcentral.